GUCACCGUAGUUCAAUGGAUAGAAUACGGCCCUCCGAAGGCUGUGAUGUGGGUUCGAUUCCCGCCGGUGGCGCCA
This 75-nucleotide transfer RNA is filed under the name Duodenibacillus sp. RNAcentral's name for it is "tRNA-Arg". It matches the Rfam family "tRNA". Rfam says of the family: Transfer RNA (tRNA) molecules are approximately 80 nucleotides in length. Their secondary structure includes four short double-helical elements and three loops (D, anti-codon, and T loops). Lineage: Bacteria; Pseudomonadati; Pseudomonadota; Betaproteobacteria; Burkholderiales; Sutterellaceae. The record is from RNAcentral.